Molecule: ribosomal RNA, 270 nt
Filed under: uncultured bacterium
Lineage: Bacteria
Description: partial 16S ribosomal RNA
Rfam family: Bacterial small subunit ribosomal RNA
Source: RNAcentral
GUCCCAGCCCUAAACGAUGGAUACUAGGUGUCUGUGGUAUCGACCCCGCAGGUGCCGUAGCUAACGCGUUAAGUAUCCCGCCUGGGGAGUACGGCCGCAAGGCUAAAACUCAAAAGAAUUGACGGGGGCCCGGCACAAGCGGUGGAGCAUGUGGUUCAAUUCGAUGCUACGCGAGGAACCUUACCCGGGCUUGACAUGCUGGUAGUAGAACCCUGAAAAGGGAACGAGUCCCGCAAGGGAAAGCCAGCACAGGUGCUGCAUGGCUGUCGU